AACGAACGCUGGCGGCAUGCCUAACACAUGCAAGUCGAACGAGACCUUCGGGUCUAGUGGCGCACGGGUGCGUAACGCGUGGGAACCUGCCCUUAGGUUCGGAAUAACUCCCCGAAAGGGGUGCUAAUACCGGAUAAUGUCUUCGGACCAAAGAUUUAUCGCCUUUGGAUGGGCCCGCGUUGGUUUAGCUAGUUGGUAGGGUAAAAGCCUACCAAGGCGACGAUCCAUAGCUGGUCUGAGAGGAUGAUCAGCCACACUGGGACUGAGACACGGCCCAGACUCCUACGGGAGGCAGCAGUGGAGAAUAUUGGACAAUGGGCGAAAGCCUGAUCCAGCAAUGCCGCGUGAGUGAUGAAGGCCUUAGGGUUGUAAAGCUCUUUUACCCGGGAUGAUAAUGACAGUACCGGGAGAAUAAGCUCCGGCUAACUCCGUG
Molecule: ribosomal RNA, 433 nt
Filed under: uncultured bacterium
Lineage: Bacteria
Description: partial 16S ribosomal RNA
Rfam family: Bacterial small subunit ribosomal RNA
Source: RNAcentral